Molecule: ribosomal RNA, 463 nt
Filed under: uncultured bacterium
Lineage: Bacteria
Description: partial 16S ribosomal RNA
Rfam family: Bacterial small subunit ribosomal RNA
Source: RNAcentral
GAUGAACGCUGACAGAAUGCUUAACACAUGCAAGUCUUUGGCGAAGCUGUGCUUGCACAGCCUAGCCAAGGCGGACGGGUGAGUAACGCGUAAGGAACUUGCCCUGCAGUCAGGGAUAACAGACGGAAAUGACUGAUAAGACCUGGUAAAGUCAGGCGGACUCAUGUCCAGCCUGAUGAAAAGAGAUGCUGCAGGAGAGCCUUGCGUCCUAUUAGCUUGUUGGUGGGGUAACGGCCCACCAAGGCGAUGAUAGGUAGCCGGCCUGAGAGGGUGGACGGCCACAAGGGGACUGAGAUACGGCCCUUACUCCUACGGGAGGCAGCAGUGGGGAAUAUUGGACAAUGGGGGCAACCCUGAUCCAGCAAUUCUGUGUGCACGAUGAAGGUUUUCGGAUUGUAAAGUGCUUUCAGCAGGGAAGAAAAAAAUGACGGUACCUGCAGAAGAAGCGACGGCUAAAUACGUG